UGUGAUCAAGCUGUAAAGGGUGCAUGGUGGAUGCCUUGGCGUACAGAGGCGAAGAAGGACGUGGCAGGCUGCGAUAAGCUCCGGGGAGUGGCCAAACACACUUUGAUCCGGAGAUUUCCGAAUGGGGCAACCCGGCGUCACUGGGCAACCAGAUGGCGUCAUCGGCGGCUGAAUGCAUAGGUCGUCGAGGCGAACCCAGGGAACUGAAACAUCUCAGUACCUGGAGGAAAGGAAAACAACCGUGACUCCGUCAGUAGCGGCGAGCGAAAGCGGAUCAGCCCAUGGCUUAGAGCCAUACGUCGUUCCCGAGUCAGCCGAACGAUCUGGAAAGGUCGAUCACAGAAGGUGACAAUCCUGUAGGCGUCAGCGAAGGGACGGCGGUCGAGUAGGUCGGAUGCCGUGGAACUCUGACUGAACAUGCGGGGCCCACCCCGCAAGGCUAAGUACUCCUGUACGACCGAUAGUGGAGCAGUAAUGCGAAUGAAAGGUGAAAAGCACCCCUUCUAGGGGAGUUAAAAGUACCUGAAACCAUGUACCUACAAGCUGUCGGAGCCCGAUUUCGAGACUUCGGUCUUGAACGGGUGACGGCGUACCUUUUGCAUAAUGGACCGGCGAGUUGUCGUAUGCGGCGAGGCUAAGCGCUUCCGGCGCGGAGCCGUAGCGAAAGCGAGUCUGAA
This 677-nucleotide ribosomal RNA is filed under the name Planctomycetota bacterium. RNAcentral's name for it is "bacterial LSU rRNA". It matches the Rfam family "Bacterial large subunit ribosomal RNA", at positions 1 to 687 of the family's 2925-position model. Lineage: Bacteria; Pseudomonadati; Planctomycetota. The record is from RNAcentral.